This 253-nucleotide ribosomal RNA is filed under the name uncultured bacterium. RNAcentral describes it as "partial 16S ribosomal RNA". It matches the Rfam family "Bacterial small subunit ribosomal RNA", at positions 524 to 776 of the family's 1533-position model. The record is from RNAcentral.
UACGAAGGGGGCUAGCGUUGCUCGGAAUUACUGGGCGUAAAGGGCGCGUAGGCGGACAGUUUAGUCAGAGGUGAAAGCCCAGGGCUCAACCUUGGAAUUGCCUUUGAUACUGGCUGUCUUGAGUACGGGAGAGGUGAGUGGAACUCCGAGUGUAGAGGUGAAAUUCGUAGAUAUUCGGAAGAACACCAGUGGCGAAGGCGACUCACUGGCCCGUUACUGACGCUGAGGUGCGAAAGCGUGGGGAGCAAACAGG